CUCGUAGGCGGUUCGGUAAGUCAGGUGUGAAAUCUCCACGCUCAACGUGGAGGGGCCACCUGAUACUGCCGUGACUCGAGUCCGGUAGGGGAGUGUGGAAUUCCCGGUGUAGCGGUGAAAUGCGCAGAUAUCGGGAGGAACACCAGUAGCGAAGGCGGCACUCUGGGCCGGAACUGACGCUGAGGAGCGAAAGCGUGGGUAGCAAACA
Molecule: ribosomal RNA, 208 nt
Filed under: uncultured bacterium
Lineage: Bacteria
Description: partial 16S ribosomal RNA
Rfam family: Bacterial small subunit ribosomal RNA
Source: RNAcentral